CGGACGGGCGGGCGUCAGUGGGAACGGGCGGGCGGACGGGUGGUCGGGCGGGUAGGGAGUCGGAGCAACGCUUGAAAGACGCGCAGAUAGAUGUCAGAUUCUCCCGUAGGGAGGUCUGGCAAGGUGUUAGUUUAGGCGGCGGAGUUGUACGCGGGCCAGUCUGUGUUACAGCUUUGCCGUCAGGGUAGCUCCUUACGAGCUGCCCAAACUGAGGACCAGUUUUCCUCACAGGAGGAGGCUGGUGGGGCCUAGGGUGUUAGGGGUACAACGGUUGGCUCUUUCACAGAACGGGUGUUUUCCGUUCUGCGUUUGAGUCUGCCGCCUUUGGGCGUCUCCCUCUGAGAUGUCGGUUAGGAUUUCUUUUUUUUAUAUGUCCGUGUGUGUAACUGUUGCCUUUUAGCCUGUUGUGUUCCUGAGCAGCAAGAAGAGGCGGCUGUGGUGACCCGCCCGAUGCGGAAGGCUUCUGGGCCCUGUCGGCGGGGGCGCACCUCUCUGGCUGACUGGUUGACCAGGCUUUGACCAGGUGGCCGGGGAGGCGCAUCCUCGCUGGGCGGGGUCUGGGGGCCCUCCGUCUUGGGGAGGUCGCUGCAGCAGGAGGAGGUAACUACUGCUGGUUUUGUAAGGCAUUGUGGUUGAGAGCACCUUGCAGCUGUAACGUGAAUUUCGUUCCGUAAUAAACAAUGUACCGCCGUGCUGCCUGUCCUUCCUCCCUCCCAGCACUGUGUACGUCUGUGUGUGUGUGUUGCUUAAUUCUCCCUCACUGCACUGUGUGUACGUCUGUGUGUGUGUGUUGCUCUGUCUCUCUCUCUCAAUCUCUCUCUCUGUCUCUGUCUCUCUCUGUCUGUCUCUCUAUCUCUCAAUCUCUCUGUGUCUUUCUCUCUCUCUAGUUAGUAAAGAACGGGCAGCGUUUGCCAUGGAAGACUCUACAGUAUACAUAAGAGUCUACAGUGUACAUCCCAACCCUCUAUGGCCGUUGCUGCUCCACCCGGGCAUUACCACAUCCACCCGGGUCUACAAGAAACCUCCACGGCCGAGCCUCAACCACAGAACACACCGCUACCGUUGAUGAGGUUCCACGCCCCGGACUACCGCCAUGUUAGCCUCGAUAAUAGUCCUCGGCGCACUUGUUCUGAGACGUCCUGACUGGAGAGCUACACAACACUGGUCAUCCGCUGAGUGGUUGAAUUCCUGGUCUACCGGCCCCUGGAGGAGUGGUCGAUUGCCUGGUCUACUGUGGAUAUGAGUGGUUGAUUCCCUGGUCUACCCCUGGAUGACGCGGCUGUUCCUAUGCAGGGGAAGACUCACACAAGCGAUAAGCACCUGUCUGACCUGGAGACUACCCCCUGAGCCUGACGGUGGAGCUGUGGGCCCUGCACCAGACCCCCCCCCCCCCCCACACCACCCACAGCAGGGGCAGGGCAUUGAGACUCCCCCCACAGGCUAAGACAGGGAAGGACUUGAAGAUCCAGGUUUUUGUCAUCUGCACAGGAAUUGACACUAUAGACAAUAAUUGACAAUAUAGUUUCCUUUUUUGUGUGUGCCCUUGAGCUGUCUCCUUUGUUGUAGAAAAAAAAUACUUGACAAGGCUUUCAUAGGUGUUUGGGGCAUUUCCAGGGGUAGUUUAAUGACCCUGGUGGUAGUCUGACCCUUCCUCUGCGCAAUGAACUUUAAAAAAACGCUCAUAAAAAUGCAGAUAUUAACCCAGUAGCAGCGGGGAUCAUGUUUCUUAAUGGUCCCUCCAAGCGAGAAAAAUGAGAAAAAAUCGCCCCUCACACAAACCAUUUCAUAUAUAUCAAAGCAUUUGCGAUCAGAUUAUGUAUCAUCUAUUUUUUGGGGUUUAUAUCAUGGCACAAAUUUGGCCUGUCGCUGCUACACGGUAAAGCCACAAAUUUGGCCCAUCACUGCUACCGGGUUAACCUCAUUAUCGUGUUAAAAUCCCUGUAUCUCACUGUUAUCUUCCUCUCCCUCUAUAUUAUUUGUCAAUCUCUCUCUUUCUCUCUCUCCCACAGAUGUCUAAGGUUCUGCCCAUGCAGCUGAAGGGUGCCAAUGCCUACAAAUGCAUCGACCACAGGUGUGCGCUGGACAUUGCCUACAAUUCAUGGUUCAAAUGGGAGCGUCGGCGGAGAUCGAGCUGGCUGAAGGUUGGCGGCCGGGUCAAGCUCGCAACGGACAAGGAGUUCUGUGAGAUGUGCUCGGCCGAUGUUGCUGACCUCGGCCACAUCAAUGUUACUAAGGUGGCGGAGGUGUGGGACUACAUCUACAUUGACGACGGACUCAAGGAGAUCGCCGAGACUACUACUAUUACUAUUACCAUUACUACACUAUACUACUAUGUGUACUAUUAAAUCCUCUAUACAGCUACCAUGUGUACUAUUGAAUCCCUUAUAUAGUACUUUCAUGACAGCUGAUACUACUACUACUACUACUAUGACCACUCAAUCCCUGGUAAGUACAAUGUCAUUAUCAUCAUUAUUUAGGUUAAGGUCCAUUAAAUUCAAUCUUCCUGAGCGGUUGGACGCUUUAUGGCUCUCCUCCAUUCUACUCUGUCUUCCGCCCAAUGCUUAUACGGUCCUAUCAAUCCCAAGUCUUCCUGUACACACCUUCUCCAUGUUUUCCUAGGUCUACCAACUGGUCUCCUUCCUUCUACCUCCAUUCUGCUCUGUCUUCUGCCCAAUGCUCAUCCAAUCCCAUCACUGCUAAGUCUUCCUGUACACACCUUCUCCAUGUUUUCCUAGGUCUACCAACUGGUCUCCUUCCUUCUACCUCCAAUCUCUCCAACACUCCCAGCACUGUAUCCUCCCCUGCUCUCUUUACAUGUCCAAACCAUUGGAGUCUUUCCCUUCUGAGCACUGUUUCCAGGUCCUCUACUAAAACUCCCAGCACUGUGUCCUCCCCUGCUCUCUUUACAUGUCUCUGCCAAAUAUUUCCCUCUCCCUGCCUCUGUCCCUGCCAAAUCACUCUCUCCCUGCCUGUGUCCCUGCCAUAUCUCUCCCUCCCUGCCAAAUCUAGCCUCUCCUCCUUACCUAACCUACCUUACCCUACCCUAAGCUGCCCUAACCUCCCUGUCUCUCUCUCCACCAGGUUGACAAGCCACCACCAAGCUGGGUUUUUUCAGCCGCCGCCGAGUGGCUUAAAACUACCCACAUGCUGUCCAGAAGACCACCUAUCAACCCGGACUCUAGAUUCUAGGAUUAAAGAUGAGCUCCAGGAGG
Molecule: long non-coding RNA, 3212 nt
Organism: Eriocheir sinensis (Chinese mitten crab)
Lineage: Eukaryota; Metazoa; Arthropoda; Malacostraca; Decapoda; Varunidae
Exons: 4
Source: RefSeq, a predicted model, not a curated record